AUUGAACGCUGGCGGCAUGCUUUACACAUGCAAGUCGAACGGUAACAGGCCUUCGGGUGCUGACGAGUGGCGAACGGGUGAGUAAUGCAUCGGAACGUGCCCAGAGGUGGGGGAUAACGCAGCGAAAGCUGUGCUAAUACCGCAUGUGAUCUGAGGAUGAAAGCGGGGGACCAGGCAGCAAUGUUUGGCCUCGCGCCUUUGGAGCGGCCGAUGUCAGAUUAGGUAGUUGGUGGGGUAAAGGCCUACCAAGCCGACGAUCUGUAGCUGGUCUGAGAGGACGACCAGCCACACUGGGACUGAGACACGGCCCAGACUCCUACGGGAUGCAGCAGUGGGGAAUUUUGGACAAUGGGCGCAAGCCUGAUCCAGCAAUGCCGCGUGCGGGAAGAAGGCCUUCGGGUUGUAAACCGCUUUUGUACGGAACGAAAAGGCUCUGGCUAAUACCUGGGGCUGAUGACGGUACCGUAAGAAUAAGCACCGGCUAACUACGUG
RNAcentral lists this ribosomal RNA (492 nucleotides) under uncultured bacterium. RNAcentral describes it as "partial 16S ribosomal RNA". It matches the Rfam family "Bacterial small subunit ribosomal RNA", at positions 30 to 507 of the family's 1533-position model. The record is from RNAcentral.